GCACUGAUCCAAGUCCUGGAUUUUUGGCACCGAAAAUAGUCCGGCGGCGCGCGGAGCGACCGCGAGGGCGCAGUGCGUGUCGCUCCGCCGUGUGAACAGCUCGUGAGGCCAGUAGCUGGCGUAUAUUUCAUCGGGACCGUAAAGACAGAACAAAACCUCCACCAUGGACGCGAUCAAGAAGAAGAUGCAGGCGAUGAAGCUGGAGAAGGACAACGCCAUGGACAAGGCGGACACCUGCGAACAGCAGGCUAGGGAUGCCAACCUCCGUGCCGAAAAGGUGAACGAGGAAGUCCGUGAGCUCCAGAAGAAGCUCGCCCAGGUGGAGGAGGACCUGAUCCUGAACAAGAACAAGCUGGAGCAGGCGAACAAAGACCUGGAGGAGAAGGAGAAGCAGCUGGCCGCCACCGAGGCGGAGGUCGCCGCGCUCAACAGGAAGGUGCAGCAAAUUGAGGAGGACCUCGAGAAGUCCGAGGAGCGCUCCGGCACAGCGCAGCAGAAGCUGCUCGAGGCCCAGCAGGCUGCUGACGAGAACAACCGCAUGUGCAAGGUACUGGAGAACAGGGCGCAGCAGGAUGAGGAGCGUAUGGACCAGCUCACCAACCAGCUGAAGGAGGCUCGUCUGCUCGCUGAGGAUGCCGACGGCAAGUCUGACGAGGUGUCCCGCAAGCUGGCGUUCGUUGAAGACGAGCUGGAAGUGGCUGAGGACCGUGUCAAGUCUGGAGACGCCAAGAUCUCUGAACUUGAGGAGGAAUUAAAGGUCGUAGGUAACUCCCUUAAAUCCCUGGAAGUGUCAGAAGAGAAAGCCAACCAGCGCGUAGAAGAAUUCAAGAAGCAACUGAAGACCCUCACCUCGAAGCUGAAGGAAGCGGAAGCGCGCGCAGAAUACGCAGAGAAGACCGUCAAGAAACUACAGAAGGAAGUCGACAGGCUCGAAGACAUGUUGUUCAACGAGAAGGAGAAAUAUAAGGCGAUAUGCGAUGACUUGGACGGCACUUUCGCCGAACUCACAGGAUACUAAUGACCCUUUAGCACUUAGUUUAAGACAUCGUUACUAACAUUUAGUAUUUCAAUUUAAAUCCAUAAAGAAUCCAUCAACAAACGUUACAUACAUCCAGAUACCUAAUAACUAAAAAUUAAAAAAAAAAACACGUUCGUAAAAUUUUUACUCUGUGAACCGAAGGAACGUAAUUCUAAAUUAUUUUCAUUAAUAGAUGGUAUCUUGAAGUAUAUGUAUCUCCAACGUGUAAUAAAAUAAUUAGCAAUUCGUGUUGAAUUUCUAUUUCAAAAACGCAAUAAUUUUCUAUCUCAAACUAAUCAACUAACUCCUGUGCUGAUAUUUAGGGGAUUCGUCGACUUUCUGGUCAAUAUUCUGACGGUCCUUUAGAAAUCGCUUAGUAUAGGAGUCCUUGCUUUUUUUGUUUGUUAUUAACAUGUCUUUGCUUACCGCUACCGUGGUGGACCAAAUCUUCCAAGACGAAUUGGGCAUCAACAAGGACCGUUACAAGAGCUUGGCCGACGAAAUGGACUCGACCUUCGCCGAGCUCGCCGGUUACUAGACGUCGCACUCCACGCAAACAAACAUUCACACAAACAAACAAGUACACAAGUCGCAGUGUCACAUCCAAAAUACCUUGUACACGUGAUGUAAUAUUUAUUAAUAUUUUAUGUAAAUUUAUUUACGAUUUUCAAUAAAAAAAAUUAAUUUAUAAUAAAA
RNA transcript from Papilio polytes (common Mormon), 1714 nucleotides. It is a transcript of the gene named tropomyosin-1, with no coding region annotated. The record is from RefSeq and is marked provisional. NCBI's taxonomy places the organism in Eukaryota, Metazoa, Arthropoda, Insecta, Lepidoptera, Papilionidae. The transcript is spliced from 8 exons.